This 253-nucleotide ribosomal RNA is filed under the name uncultured bacterium. Its description in RNAcentral is "partial 16S ribosomal RNA". It matches the Rfam family "Bacterial small subunit ribosomal RNA", at positions 524 to 776 of the family's 1533-position model. The record is from RNAcentral.
GACGUAGGGUGCGAGCGUUGUCCGGAUUUAUUGGGCGUAAAGAGCUCGUAGGCGGCUCGUCGCGUCGACCGUGAAAACCCGCGGCUUAACUGCGGGCUUGCGGUUGAUACGGGCGGGCUAGAGUCCGGUAGGGGAGACUGGAAUUCCUGGUGUAGCGGUGAAAUGCGCAGAUAUCAGGAGGAACACCGGUGGCGAAGGCGGGUCUCUGGGCCGAUACUGACGCUGAGGAGCGAAAGCGUGGGGAGCGAACAGG